UUCCCAAUAGCAUAGUGGUUAGUGCAUAGCCCGGAUAGGUUGAGACGCGGGUUCGAAUCCCGCCUGAGAUG
Molecule: transfer RNA, 71 nt
Filed under: Nippostrongylus brasiliensis
Lineage: Eukaryota; Metazoa; Nematoda; Chromadorea; Rhabditida; Heligmosomidae
Rfam family: tRNA
About the family: Transfer RNA (tRNA) molecules are approximately 80 nucleotides in length. Their secondary structure includes four short double-helical elements and three loops (D, anti-codon, and T loops).
Source: Rfam by way of RNAcentral